GUUCGGAUCGCAGGCUGCAACCCGCCUGCGUGAAGUCGGAAUCGCUAGUAAUCGCGGAUCAGCAUGCCGCGGUGAAUACGUUCCCGGGCCUUGUACACACCGCCCGUCACACCAUGAGAGUCGGGAACACCCGAAGCCCGUAGCCUAACUUUAACGAGAGGGCGCGGUCGAAGGUGGGUUCGAUAAUUGGGGUGAAGUCGUAACAAGGUACC
RNAcentral lists this ribosomal RNA (212 nucleotides) under uncultured bacterium. RNAcentral's name for it is "partial 16S ribosomal RNA". It matches the Rfam family "Bacterial small subunit ribosomal RNA", at positions 1291 to 1500 of the family's 1533-position model. The record is from RNAcentral.